GCACCUGUGGUGAAAUUGGUAUACACGCUACCUUGAGGUGGUAGUGGCCGAAAGGCUGUGCUAGUUCGAGUCUAGUCAGGUGCACCA
Molecule: transfer RNA, 87 nt
Filed under: Candidatus Saccharimonadota bacterium
Lineage: Bacteria; Candidatus Saccharimonadota
Description: tRNA-Leu
Rfam family: tRNA
About the family: Transfer RNA (tRNA) molecules are approximately 80 nucleotides in length. Their secondary structure includes four short double-helical elements and three loops (D, anti-codon, and T loops). Further hydrogen bonds mediate the characteristic L-shaped molecular structure. tRNAs have two regions of fundamental functional importance: the anti-codon, which is responsible for specific mRNA codon recognition, and the 3' end, to which the tRNAs corresponding amino acid is attached (by aminoacyl-tRNA synthetases). tRNAs cope with the degeneracy of the genetic code in two manners: having more than one tRNA (with a specific anti-codon) for a particular amino acid; and 'wobble' base-pairing, i.e. permitting non-standard base-pairing at the 3rd anti-codon position.
Source: RNAcentral